GUCCUUCGGGACAUACGCAAAAAUUGGAAAAAUACAGAGAAGAUUAGCAUGGCCCCUGCGCAAGGAUGACACGCAAAACUUCGAGAAGAUCCCAGUUUUU
This 100-nucleotide small nuclear RNA is filed under the name Galdieria sulphuraria. The record is from RNAcentral. Lineage: Eukaryota; Rhodophyta; Bangiophyceae; Galdieriales; Galdieriaceae.